AUCGGUAAAUAAUUUUUGUGGCGUGAAAGCUAAAUAAAUUCGUACUUACUGUAAUACAGAUAACCAAAGCAUAAGAUUUAAUUUACAGUGACACAUGGGCCCACAAACGACCAAAGUAUCAAAAGCGGUAAACCUAUAGUUUUUUAAGGAUGCAAGUCCAAUGGUAACUCUUGAUGAAAUCAGCUAUUUACAGCCUAUUUUGAGCCUGAAAUGGAUGGAAAUGAGGCUGGUGAGAUUAUAUAAUCCCAGUGAGUAAACAAAUACUAUCUAAAAUAUCUAAAGCUGAGUAAAUGGAGACAAAUAAAAUAGUUUAACAUACUGUAAUUCAUCACCUUUUAGCUCAUUUCAACAAAAUAAAAUCAAUUCAUUUAAAUCGAGUAAUCCACAUGGCUUAUGAAUUUCUUAAAACUUUGGCUCGUGCCAAAAUCAUUCUCAUACUCAGUUAUCAGGGAUAACUUGGCCGAGGGCUAUCCCAACCGAGUUCGUCAAGGUUGUUAAAAAUUUAUGUGCGCAUAAAUCAUGUUUUUAUUUUGAAAACAUAGCCGUUCCUUGGCGUUGGUUGAGUUCACCCUCACGUGGUGGUUUAGCAUGAAGUAAACUCUAAAGUGUUAACCUUAGGAGUUAUCCAUCCGCGCCUCUCAUACUGAGGUAUGAAUAUAAUAGGGUUACCGUGCCCUUCUAAUAGGCUGGUCCACAGAACCCGUCCACUGCAACGACCAAUAUAUAACCCACCAAUUCAAUAAAAUUUGCAAUAGCAUGACAUGACAAUUAUUUUAUUUUACAGCCUCUCAAAGUAAAUCAACAGUUCAUACAUUUUCAGCACAUUUACCAAUUCAACCAUUCAUGCCAAUAUUAUCAUAAGCCAUUCAAUUCAAACCAUGAUUUAUAACACAACAAUUAGUCUCAAAUUACUCCAUUUUCAAAACCAUCUUUCAAUUUAAAAACAAUUUUAUAAAAUCUUUUCAUUUAAUCACAUUUUUGCUUAUAAAACAUAAAGAUUUACCAUUUAAACUCAUUUUCCAUAAAAUCACAAAAAUGAAUUAAAAUUCACUUCAGAUAAUCAAGAUGAUGAUAAGGUUACUCACUGUAUCAAGAGUUUGAAAUACUCCUAUUCUCAGUCCUCUGACACAAAGUCUUUACCCUUGUUAGAGGGCUCAUCACCUAUAUACAAUACACGACACACAAUUCAAUAUACUGUGUCAUACCAUUAUAAAUCUAUUUCAGGCUUUUUACUAAUGCAUGAAAUGGAAUGCAAAUCGUUCGGAUUAUCAUCUAAACACGGUGUUCUACACAAAUUUAAUUGUGUACCAAAAUAAAUCGGUAUUGGCCUAAUUCGAUCUGUCACCCGAUUAAUUGGCCAAUAUUUCCAAUUCAACUCUAAUUAAUUCCAUUUUUCUCCCAAUUCUUCAAAUCACCAAACACAAGUCAAAUAACAUAAAAUUUAGCAAAACUAUCCUCACAUUUCUUCUUGAGAAUUUCGGCCAUGGUGAGUGCAUCAACACUAUGAUUUUUCCUACUUGAUUUUCUCAUCAUAAUUCAUCAUUUCCUAACCAAUUCACUUGAAAUAAAAUCAAAUUCACCAUCAACACUCUACAAGGAAGAUUCGGCCAAUGAUGAAUUCAUGAGGAAUAUGUGAAUUUCAAGCUUAAUUCUUACACUUAACACCAUAAACAACUAAAAACAUCCAUAUAUCUUAAAAAUGUAUCUAAAUCAUCAUCAAAUUCUCUCUCCUAGGGUUUGAUCAGCAAGAUACCCAUCAUGAAAUCAUGUGAUUCAACCAUGGAAAAUAAGAAAAAAUGCUUAAGAAAGAAAGAUCUCAAGCUUAAUUAAAAAAUCUUACCUUUUUUUCACUUGUUUCUUGAAUUUUCACACCUUUCCCUUGAAUUUUUUCACCUAGGGUUCUUGUUCUUUCUUUUCUUCCUUUAUUCUUCUUUGGCCG
RNAcentral lists this long non-coding RNA (1939 nucleotides) under Theobroma cacao (cacao). RNAcentral's name for it is "long non-coding RNA (TCAC_LNC005854)". Lineage: Eukaryota; Viridiplantae; Streptophyta; Magnoliopsida; Malvales; Malvaceae. The record is from RNAcentral.